ACAAAGCGGUGUACUUUACAUUGUUGUUAAAGUAAAGUGUAAUACUGUACGUUACUCACUGGCUCGCUGUUUCAGACGCUAUUCCUCCGCUCCCGGAGCCCAAACCCCGGAGUGCGGUGUUUUACCCACAUCGCUUACUGAUGCUCCUCGACUAGCGAUGGGGGUCGCGUUCCGAUAAACCCACCGUAAGUGGAAAAAUCGUACGCGGAGAAAGGAUGCAGCGUCUUGAGUUCGGUCUCGAGUAAUUGUUUCCGCGGGAACGGAUCGAAAUUCAAAAUACGGAUUCUACCGAAUGCGUAUCGCUAUUGUGGCGUCGUAACUUGGGAAAAAUCGUAAGCCGAGCCGUCGUAAGUAGAGGAGCAUCCGUACGUCUUCCUUCAGGGGACUUUGUCAUUUCGGAGCAUCAAGUGGUCGAUGCUCCGGGAUUUGUUCUGCAGCCCUGUGAGUUACAGUUAUGCAUUUAGCUGAUACUUUUCUCCAAAGUUACAAUGUUAAGGUCACUAUCUACACAUUUAUAUGGCUGGAUGAUUUUUAGAGAAGCAAUUUAGGGUAAGUACAUCACUCAAGGGUACUACAGCUAGAGGUGGGGAUCGAACCCACAACCUUUGGGUCUAAAGGCAGCACCUCGGAUCACUAAGCUACCAGCUGCCCCUUUUUCUGAAACAUGCCCUGGUCCUGUAGCGCGGGCCUCGGAUAGUAUGAUUCUCUAGUGGGAACGGACGAGAGCCAUGUGUUGGACAGAAGAAUUCGAAGUUUAGAGUUGCAGUAAUUGCCUACAUUCAUUUGAAAACUAAAGCCAACUUUUUUUUUUUUUUUUUUUUUUUUCCAGGGAACAGUUCACGUAAGGAACACUCCUGUGAUUUUAAGAGGAUUAAUUUACACUACCCUACGCUUCAUUUUACACCCGCUGUAUUCACGCUGCAGCGGGAAUCAAAGUGGGGCUUGUCCGCAGUCUGCCAGCAUCUCGGAAGAAGGCGGCUCUGUGUUACCCGUGGAGGUUGAGGGCGGGCCGCGAUUCCCGGGAAAAGGACGUGAGUGCCCGCUGCCAUUUUCCUCUGGAAACUCCUACCCCCAUGAACAGUUACUGUGGAAACGAACAACACUCACAGCAAGACGCUCCGCUGACCGAGUUCCUACCUGGGCAGCGCGAAGAGGAGAUAUUACACAGUAGAGAAGCCAGGGAAGAUGCGGGUUGUCGACACUGGGAAGCCAUGAUGUCGCAGCCCCGUUACUGAGGUUGUGAGAGCAGCUCCCAGAAUUACAAGCGAUAGCUGAGAGCUACUUGCCCCGGACAAACACAGCGUGGAAGACGAGGAGUGUGGGAGAGAAGCACUAUCAGCGUUUGAGAGUAACCUGACACGCAGCGCUCUGCAGGUCCAGUCGCUUGUUCUCAUACAAAUAACACAAUGCACCCCCCCAAGGUGUACGUCCGCUGUUUCUUUAUAUGUCAAGCCGUGUUCAUCGUGGCUUGCUUGAAUUUUUUUUCUUUUUUUUAAUUAAGCUUUUGCAUCUUAAGAAAAUUCCAUAUGAGAUUUAACACAAAUGUGCAGUCUUUUAAAUAAGUCUCGUGAGGCUUUGUUACACACUUCUCCCUAAUGUCUCUUCAGGGCUGAAGAGCUGAAGUGAGAUUUGAGGGACGGCCAUAGAUGCUGCAGGACCUUCUUAGAGAUCGGCAGCAGUUCAUCCAGCCCCAGAUCUAUUCACAGAGGAAGCACGGCCGUGGAGUUGGUCAGAGCCGGUGUCCCGGUUAACGCUUUUGGACAAUUAUCAAGUUCAGCAUAACGGUCAAACAUACUCCAGCAUCAGGACUCCAGCAUCAAGACGUGGGGUCGUGUUCUUCACCCUUCAUGCUCUUUUCACCCUAACUUCAGAAACCAGUCCCCACUUAUACUGACUUCACGUGAAGAGUGGAACUGAACCCGAAACACAUGGACUUUGCGAAGAAUAUUCCAAAAGAUCAUUCAUUUUUAAAACAAUUUGAGCCAUAUUUAAAACUGGUUCAUCAUUCAUAUACUGUAGCUUAAAUGGAUUUUAGCAUUUUACCAGUUAAAUAUGUUUGGAUGGUUUAUUUGAGAUGCCCGGUCCUCCUUGCCUUCUCGACCUGAGUAAUUUUGAUCUUGUACAAAGUGUGUUUUACAAUGGUUCUGAUGAGGAUGCAAAAAUUAUUUUAAAAUCCAUAA
Scleropages formosus (Asian bonytongue) is the source of this 2180-nucleotide long non-coding RNA. The record is from Ensembl. NCBI's taxonomy places the organism in Eukaryota, Metazoa, Chordata, Actinopteri, Osteoglossiformes, Osteoglossidae.